CGUAUGCACUGGCCAUUAAUAAAUCCCAAGGACAAUCAGUGAAAUUUGUUGGGGUUGAUUUGCGUACACCCGUAUUCAGUCAUGGACAGUUAUAUGUGGCACUAUCAAGAUGCACCUUUGUUGAUCGUGUCAGCGUACUUCGUCCUAAUAAUGAGCUUGAUUCUACAACAAACAUUGUUUAUCCUGAAGUGUUAUUGUCGUGAUGUGUAAUCAAAACAACCAAUAGACAAAAUAUAAAGGUAUGAUUAAUUUGUCAUUCUCUAUGUAAAUUUGUUCAAUCAACUCUUAAAAGGGUACUCUACAUUCUUAGUGUAUUUUUGUAGGAUUGGGAUGAAAAUGUUAUGGAUCUCAAAGAGGAAGAAUAUGACAUCAACAAUACUACAAUAGAAACGUAAUAAGGUUGUCGUGCAUUCUCCUAGAUGGAGACAUUAGAUCAAGACUUUUGAGAGGCAUAUUGAGGCGUACUUUGGAUAGCCGCAUUGAGGAGCAUUUGAGGACUUUUUGGGAGGCAUGUUGAAGACUUUUGAACGGAAAUACAACUCAAGUAUGUGAAUUGCGAGGCUUCCGAUCCGUAAGUAUGAAACUACCUUAUUGCGCAAGAGGCUGGUGUGCUUAGAUGUACUUAUGUUGUUAAAUGCAGAGCACUUGCUGGUGUGCUUAGAUUUGCUCUUAUGUUACAUGCAAACCAUUGACUGAUGUGUUUAGAUCUUGAGCCUGAUUUAGUUAAUGCAUAGCACUGGUUGGUGUGCAUUUUUAAAUGUUGGAUGGAUGGUGUUUUUUGUUUUAUCAAUUGUGUUAUGCGUUUUGUUGGGGAGAGGAAAGUUGUUAGGGAUUUUAAGAGAGGGAAGGGAAGCUAGGGGAUCAUAUAUUACAUUCAUAACUAUGCACACAGAGAGAUAUGAAAAAAGAUUACGUAUUUUCAGGCUCAUCUAUUUAAUUGUGUUUGAUUCGUUGAUAUUGUAGUUGAAAUUUGGGGACUCCAUUAAGCCUCCUGGGAUGGGGUGUCCAACUUUAGCUCCUACUUUAUUGUCCUUCGAAGGAAACUGAUUUCUGCUCCUAUUUCGGACAUGACAUGACACCAUAAUGGGGGUGUUGAAUUUUAAAAUUUUAUGUAUAUAUUCAUGUCCUUUUUGUGAAAUCAACAGUAGGGAAGAGUGGUUUAGUUUAUGAUGCACGGACACGGAUACGGAUACGAGGAUACAAAAAUUCUACAAAAAUGGGACACGGACAAGGCGGGAGAAACGCCACGUGUAUAUUUUUUCCAAGUUUAAAUGGCAAAAUGUAGACAAAACAUAACAUCCAUAGUUCUAAUACCAUUCAAAUAAAACAAGACAUUCAUGAUCCAUAAGUUCAAUACAAUCCAAAUACCCAAUUGAAAACAAAACAUGAUAAACAUCCAUAGUUCCAUAAUAAAUUAUGGGACACGCUAAGUGGCGUGUCCCAUACGUGUCCCAAGCCGUGUCCCCCUAAAAAAUUUAUAUUAAAUUAUGGGACACACCACAUGGCGUGUCCCAUACGUGUCCCCGAGGUAUCCCCGCGUGUCUCCGUGUUCGGACACUGCGAUACGUCGACCUCUAAAUGUGUCGGUGUUUUAUAGGUUUAGUUUAAUUGUGUUAAGAACACGUCGCGUCGUGCCUUUGGGCACGGACAAUUCAUAGAACAAAAGCUUUAACUCUAGAGAAUUGAUGCUCCUUGCAAAGGGAUAUUCAUAUAACAACCACAUUGCUUAAAACCAAGUUUUGUAUGUCUGUUGGGUAAAGCUUAAUGGAAAAGGUUGUGGGAAGUUAUGAGAUUUUCUUGAAAAAAUUAACUUAAUUUGGUUAGGUGAGUCACCAACACUGCUAGAGAUUGUCACAUCCGUUUUGGACACUGCAAAUACACUAGACACACCGGGAACAUGUACGUGUCCAUUUGAUUUUAAUAUGAUUAAUGGUGGGAUGAGCCUGGGACACGACAAUGUGAAUUAUAAAUUUUAAAAGCUUUGUGUUGGAGAAAAGUCUUCGAGAAAUACGAGUUUACAUAUUACUAUAACAUUAUGUCCAUAGCUCUUCGGCUAUAGUUCCUAUCUAUUUUUUAUAAAUUGUUUUUAGUUUCUAUGCUAACAGGAGGUGAAUUGAAGUGAUAGUAAAGGGAGCAUUGCCUGUAAAUUGAAUUGAUAGUAAAAGUUUUUGUCAGAUUUCAGCAAUAAUUCAGGCACGGCACAAUCCCUAUGGAUUGUCGUCGCCCAAAUGAACAUUGUUGUCGCCGGAUUAUGUUUACCAUAGCAGGAUCGUGUCGCUGGAAGUAUUGACUAUUCUGUGGAUUGAAGGCAACAACUCUUUGGUAGUACGUGAUUCUUGCGCGUUUGGUUUUGGUUUCUGUUAGGUAAUUGGCACACUGAAUUAUACCCUUUCUAUCAUGGUCUCUAUCUCUUUCUUUCUUUAUGGAUUUCUGGAACUAAUUUUUGUUAGAUAUCAAUAUAACUAGGUAAAAGGAGUGGGAGCUUAUAGGGUUUUGGUAAUUGGUUGUGCGGGAGCUUAUGUGGAGGCUCAUUGGUGACUGGUUGUGCGGGAUGAUAAAUCAGGUGGUCCAUUACGUAUAGGGUUUUGGUAAAUAUGAUGUAGACUCACCCUUGCAGGGCAUGUAUCUUGACUCAUAUUGUACUUAUGCAAAGAAACAACUUACCAAUAUUGUUUUUUUAGGGAUCUUUUGCUAAAUGUAAUGGAUUUGUUAUUAGAAAUGCCUUAUUGGAAUUGGACUGUGUUGGUUUUAUUUUGUGUAUAUUAUCGUAUUUUUCUUUAAUUCGCUUGCGGAUGACUAUGAUUAUCCGGGAAUAAUACUUUUUAAGACUAAACAAAAAAUAUACUGUGCUUUGCUUUCACGCACGGAUUGGUUAGUAGUGGAAAAGGGUAAUUCAAUUUAAUUGUGUUCAAAACGCAUUGCGCCGUGCCUUCAGGCACGGGCUCAAUCCCUAGUAUAUAUAUAUAUAUAUAUAUAUAUAUAGAGAGAGAGAGAGAGAGAGAGAGAGAGAACAUAUAACGUUUAGGAUUUUGGUUGUUUAACAUAUAUGAUUAUCUAUAUAUAUAUGGUUAUCUUUGCUUAUCUGGCAAUCCUUUUUAUUCCAUUAAACUCAAAUAUAAUGCGAUAUGUGUAUGUUAUCUGUCAUUCUUUAAUCUUUCACCAUACAACCACAUAUAUGUGGUUAUCUUUCUAUUCUGACAGAUAUGGUUAUUGAUUUGGUCAUAUAACUCUAUAUACAAUAAUAAAACAUGGUUAAAAAACAACUCACAUAUAACGUUAAAUGUUUUAAUUUAUUGAACUUGUCUGUGCAAUGGCCUCACUAACUUGCUUUUCAACAGGAUCCAAUCAAGAUUAUAUGUCUAAGUUUGAUCAUGCUUUAUUAUUGUACAUAGAGUUAUAUGUCCGAUCUUCAACAUGCUUUAUUAUUUUGAUGGAUGUGAUUUUCUUUCAUUUAUAUAAACAUAUAUAACAAUAGUCGAUGAUUUUAUAAUAAUAUUUGAAUGUUAGUGUUUAGGUUAUAUAUGAUUAUUGAAUCUAUGGUUAUAACCAUAUUUUUUUAGCUGCUAUUGAAUCCAUUGGUUUCAAUAGCAUCUGUUUCAUUCAUUCCCCCCUCAUCUUCUCCCAAAGCGCAAUAAAAGAGUUAUGAGUUCGUUAAUUCUAUUAUUGCUUAUGAAUUAUAAUUUUGUUCUUGUACUUAAUGUCUCUCAUUGCUUUUUUUUGCUCCGCUAUCUCUCAUUGCAAUUUGUUUCAGAAAAUGAUGCAUUUGUUGUGUUCCCGGUUCCUCGGUUGUCGAUCUUUCCGAGCCUUUGGAGAGACAGGCUCCCUCGUUAUGAGAGAGACUUGGCGAGCUCGUCUGGGCCCGGAUGAGGACCCACUACAAGGUGGAGGGCACGCUUGGAGUUGUAGCUAGGUUCAGAGAUAGGCCCCAUUGAGGUAAAUGAAAAUCAGAUCCAUUAGCUUUUUUAUUGGGCAUGUUGAUGAGUAUGAUUAGUGUAUCUAUUUUAUGAUAGUAGUGAUUUUGAUUAUUUAGGAGUAGGUUUUUUCAUUUCCAUAAAACGUGGAAGAGUUUUUUCAUUUCCAUAAAAUGUUGGGAUGUCUUCUUAGCAUUGUGAUGCCGUUUUAUUUUGCUUGCUUGUUCUAAUUGUAUUCCCUUUCACCUCUUAAUAAUAUCUUCUUCGCCGUUCAAAAAAAAUCACAUAUUUGUGGGUUUCAUUUUGCUUCUUUUUUUUUUUUGCUAAAAAAUUUGAGAAACUAGGGAUGAGAGGCAAAUUACAUUUGUAUAUAGCAUAGAUUGAUUGAUUUAAUCCUAGUAUUAGUCAUGUAACAAAUUCAAGAUUAAUGAAA
Molecule: long non-coding RNA, 4344 nt
Organism: Rhododendron vialii
Lineage: Eukaryota; Viridiplantae; Streptophyta; Magnoliopsida; Ericales; Ericaceae
Exons: 3
Source: RefSeq, a predicted model, not a curated record